RNAcentral lists this non-coding RNA (26 nucleotides) under Cricetulus griseus (Chinese hamster). Lineage: Eukaryota; Metazoa; Chordata; Mammalia; Rodentia; Cricetidae. The record is from RNAcentral.
AGUUAUACAUGUUUGGCAUAGUACUU